GGAUGGAGUACCAGCAGCAGAGGGAACCAAUGGACCCAGCACAGCUGACAGAACCCCCGAGGAGGCAAGCUUUGACCGGGCGGUAAUAAUCAGGCUGGCACAUUAUGGUCCCAACCCAUCUGCAGAGAUCAUCGACCGGGUCAUGGCCGCUGUGGAGACCAAUCUGCUACGCCAAAGCGGUGCUGCAGCAGCCCCAGUCACAGCAAACCCGGGGGAAAGAAAGAAAGUGCCG
Pelobates cultripes (western spadefoot toad) is the source of this 232-nucleotide non-coding RNA. NCBI's taxonomy places the organism in Eukaryota, Metazoa, Chordata, Amphibia, Anura, Pelobatidae. The record is from the annotation of a GenBank genome assembly.